AUUGAACGCUGGCGGCAGGCUUAACACAUGCAAGUCGAAUGGUAACAGGAAACAGCUUGCUGUUUCGCUGACGAGUGGCGGACGGGUGAGUAAUGUCUGGGAAACUGCCUGAUGGGGGGGAUCACUACUGGAAACGGUAGCUAAUACCGCAUAACGUCGCAAGACCAAAGGGGGGGACGUUCGGGCCUCUUGCCAUCAGAUGCGCCCAGAUGGGUUUAGCUAGUAGGUGGGGUAACGGCUCACCUAGGCGACGCUCCCUAGCUGGUGUGAAGGGAUGACCGGCCGCACUGGAGCGGGGCCACGGUCCAGACGCCUGCGGGAGGCAGCAGUGGGGAAUGUUGCGCAGUGGGCGCGAGCCUGGUGCAGCCAUGCCGCGUGUAUGAAGGAGGCGUUCGGGUUGUGAAGUACUUUCAGCGGGGAGGAAGGGAGUAAAGUUAAUACCUUUGCUCAUUGACGUUACCCGGAGAAGAAGCACCGGCUAACUCCGUG
RNAcentral lists this ribosomal RNA (489 nucleotides) under uncultured bacterium. RNAcentral describes it as "partial 16S ribosomal RNA". It matches the Rfam family "Bacterial small subunit ribosomal RNA", at positions 28 to 507 of the family's 1533-position model. The record is from RNAcentral.